This is a long non-coding RNA of Trichomycterus rosablanca, 310 nucleotides long. RefSeq lists it as uncharacterized. The record is from RefSeq and is a predicted model, not a curated record. NCBI's taxonomy places the organism in Eukaryota, Metazoa, Chordata, Actinopteri, Siluriformes, Trichomycteridae. The transcript has 3 exons.
UGGUAAAACCGGCUCUUUCUGACAGGGCAACGGGAAGCGGGCGGAUGUCUCGCGGAUGUGCAGAAAGGACCCGGACCAUUCCACCUGGGGAUCGAACUCAGGACCUUCUUGCUGUGAGGCUACAGUGCUACCCACCGAGCCACCGUGCCACCCUAUAGAACUGGACACUGUACAAAGAAGAGAUAUUUUACCUUUCUCACUUAUAAUGCCUGCAGUGCAUUCCAAAGGGGCAUUGAAAAAUCGGGAGGUUUUACAACUCUGCACAGGCGACAGCUGGUGUUGAACUUCUGGACGUGUCUGAAAAAUCCCA